GGAUACCCGAGGGAAACUUCGGUUAAUACGGUAUAAGACCACACUACCGCAUGGUAGAGGGGUAAAAGGGGCAACCUGGUAUGAGAUGGACUCGCGUCGCAUUAGCUAGUUGGUGAGGUAACGGCCCACCAAGGCGACGAUGCGUAGCCGACCUGAGAGGGUGAUCGGCCACAUUGGGACUGGGAUACGGCCCAGACUCCUACGGGAGGCAGCAGUGGGGAAUAUUGGGCAAUGGAGGAAACUCUGACCCAGCAAUGCCGCGUGAAUGAAGAAGGUCUUCGGAUUGUAAAGUUCUUUAGUCAGGGAAGAAGUCAAUGACGGUACCUGAAGAAUAAGCUCCGGCUAACUACGUGCCAGCAGCCGCGGUAAUACGUAGGGAGCAAGCGUUGUUCGGAAUGACUGGGCGUAAAGGGUGCGUAGGCGGUUGUACAAGUUAGAAGUGAAAUACCCAGGGCUUAACUCGGGUGCUGCUUCUAAAACUGUAUGACUUGAGUGCAGUAGAGGUUAGUGGAAUUCCUAGUGUAGCGGUGGAAUGCGUAGAUAUUAGGAGGAACACCAGAGGCGAAGGCGGCUAACUGGACUGCAACUGACGCUGAGGCACGAAAGUGUGGGGAGCAAACAGGAUUAGAUACCCUGGUAGUCCACACUGUAAACGAUGGAUACUAGAUGUAGGAGGUAUCGACUCCUUCUGCGUCGCAG
This 699-nucleotide ribosomal RNA is filed under the name uncultured bacterium. Its description in RNAcentral is "bacterial SSU rRNA". It matches the Rfam family "Bacterial small subunit ribosomal RNA", at positions 141 to 851 of the family's 1533-position model. The record is from RNAcentral.